GGGGGGUUAGCUCAGUUGGGAGAGCACGACGUUCGCAACGUCGGGGUCGGGGGUUCAAAUCCCCUACCCUCCACCA
Molecule: transfer RNA, 76 nt
Filed under: Nitrospirae bacterium 13_2_20CM_2_61_4
Lineage: Bacteria; Pseudomonadati; Nitrospirota
Also listed under: 4 other names
Description: tRNA-Ala
Rfam family: tRNA
About the family: Transfer RNA (tRNA) molecules are approximately 80 nucleotides in length.
Source: RNAcentral